Molecule: ribosomal RNA, 160 nt
Filed under: Marila tomentosa
Lineage: Eukaryota; Viridiplantae; Streptophyta; Magnoliopsida; Malpighiales; Calophyllaceae
Description: 5.8S ribosomal RNA
Rfam family: 5.8S ribosomal RNA
About the family: 5.8S ribosomal RNA (5.8S rRNA) is a component of the large subunit of the eukaryotic ribosome. It is transcribed by RNA polymerase I as part of the 45S precursor that also contains 18S and 28S rRNA. Functionally, it is thought that 5.8S rRNA may be involved in ribosome translocation.
Source: RNAcentral
GACUCUCGGCAACGGAUAUCUCGGCUCUUGCAUCGAUGAAGAACGUAGCGAAAUGCGAUACUUGGUGUGAAUUGCAGAAUCCCGUGAACCAUCGAGUCUUUGAACGCAAGUUGCGCCCGAAGCCUUCGGGCCGAGGGCACGUCUGCCUGGGUGUCACGCA